AGAAUCUGAAAAGAAAUGGCAAUGAGCAGAGGUCUCCCACCCUCACGUGGAGGACAGGGUCCGCAAAGAUGAGUCACAUUGUAGAACUUCACUAUUCAGAGAAAGCCCCUUCACAUGCAGAAUCUCGCUGGUCUCUCAGGACAAUCCUGUGAGACCCUGCACUGAUGGAUCCGCUGGUGCCACCCAGAUCAAUAAACUGGCUCAUCUGAUCUUGUGGCCCCCAUCCAGGAACCAACUCAGAGCAAGAAGACAGCUUCAACUCCCUAUGCCUUCAUCUCUGAUACGACCUGUCAACACGCCCCACUCCCUGGCCCCCUACCUGCCAAAUUAUCCUUAAAAAAACUCCCAUCCCUAAAUUUUCCGGGAGAAUGAUUUGAGUAGUUAACUCUGGUCUCUCGUUCUGGCUCUGCAUGAAUUAAACUCUUUCUCUAUUGCAA
Molecule: long non-coding RNA, 437 nt
Filed under: Homo sapiens (human)
Lineage: Eukaryota; Metazoa; Chordata; Mammalia; Primates; Hominidae
Description: HSALNT0388373
Source: RNAcentral